This is a long non-coding RNA of Gasterosteus aculeatus aculeatus (three-spined stickleback), 10101 nucleotides long. Lineage: Eukaryota; Metazoa; Chordata; Actinopteri; Perciformes; Gasterosteidae. The record is from Ensembl.
AAUUAUAACUCAAUUUACAUACCAUUUGUAAAUGAUUUGCCUCAAGGUCCUUACCAAAAAUCACAUUUUACAAGAUAUAAUUUGAUCACAAAAUUAUAAUAAUAAAUGGUAAUAUUUACCUUUCCCUAUUUUUUACUCAACAUGUACAAGUCAAAAGUUUGGACACACUUUUUCAUUGCGUUGAAUGAGAAAGCGUUUCCAAACCUUUUACUGGUGCUGCAGCUUGAACACAUUUUAAUGUAAGAAAAUAAAACAUUCACAUAUUUAACAACAUUGGCGGCUUCAACGCCUGUACUCAACCAGUAGAGUCUGGUACAUGGCAGCUCAUUGUAGCCCGCCUGCACGUGUAUGCGUGCACACUCAGAGGAAAAGACAGAGCGAGGGAGAGAGACUCUCAACGAGCAUCAGUGGCCUCUCACCCUUCACUCAGUAAGACACAUAGAUCCAUCAGAAAUGCAGCUGCUGAAAAAAUGUUCAUAAUACAAAAUGGAAUUCGUCCUUAAGGCUACGGAAAUAAAUAUUUAAAAAACGCUGCUCUGUAAGGAAUACCUACUCAUUGCUUACUGCAUUGCAGGGCGUUAAAUACCAGUUCUUGAUUCAAAAUGUCUUGAAAUUCAAGACUUUCAGGACCAAGCGCUUUUGACUAGCAAACCCCUAGAUGUAUUGAAGUGAAAAUCACAGGUGGUAAGUCCUAGUUAAAUUAAUUAAGGAAGUGUUUACUUUGAAAUUUUAAUUUUAUUUUGAAAUGACGAGGCACGUCCGAAUAUUCCCGGUAGUUGAAUAAUAAUGAAAGUGAAGUCUCUUUGAAACAACAUCAAGCUACAAUGAUUUGCCUAACAUGGGUGAUACGUCAGGAAUGGCGUACGCUGACAGAGGACUGGACUCAUAGAUUGACGCACACUUGCUUACUUGCUGUCCCUUCUCAACACUGUUGCGUGCUGUUAAUUGCAAGCUGGCCCACCUUUACACCAGCUGGUGCCCACUUUAGCUUUUAUGUUGCUCAGCCGCACACUUCUGCACCGUCUUCAUCGCUCCCCGACUCUCUCUCUCUCUCUCUGUCUCUCCACUAGUUUCAUAAAUCUUAACACUUCUUCCUCUAUCCUUAUCUGGCUUUACCCAUCACCCCCCUCUGUAAAUCCUCUACUCUCCCUCCUUUUAUCGACUGACCACUGAGCCAUUAGUAGAUCUCGGGAUGUUUAUGAGACAAGGUGGUUAGAAAGCGCUGAAGAAGAAAAAGGGGUCACUGUAUUGCAAAUAUCUAGAAUGCUGAUAUGUAUUCCCCUCUCUGGGGAAAAAAAAUCUCCUCAGCCAGCCAAAGUGUAUAUUCUUGUUCUUUCUGGUAAGAAGUUAAGGAAUAUGAAUUGGGUGGAUCUAUUUAUAUUACCAUUGCAGAGUACAUGGAGAUGCAAAAAAGAAAGAUGUUUAUCUUUGCCUGGUCAAUAUCACCGUUAUAAACAAGUUCUAUGGAUAAGGAUUCUACCUCUCUUUACUAGUACUGGAACUCAAACAUUGGUUGAAAAUACACCAUCUAUGAUACAUUAUAAACAGUUAAGAUAUUCUCAUGUGGUUUCAAUGUCUUGGCCAUGUUAUCUGGUUACAAGUUGACCAUUAACAAUGUUACAAAUACAUAUUAUAAUUAUCCAAUAACUCUGUCACAGUAGCACUUCCACCAAUUGAUAAUUUGACAAACACGACCAGUCAGAGUGUGAGGUGAUGAAUUAUUUGAUAAUCUAUCGCUGCCUGGAGGCCAAGUGUUAUAGAUGACAAGCAGGAGGAACUCGCAAUUGCGUAUUUCUGCCAUUGUAGGUCCUAUUUUUCCGUCUUUCUCUUCUGAUCAUACAAACCAGUUAGAAAUUUGAAUGUUGUCUUUAUAUCAUGCACAUUUGCACGAUCCAAUAUAAUCUGGCACUAAGCAGUUUCCAAAUUAACUUUCCUCACCUGGCACAAUAUAAUGAGCUGCGGAUCUCUUCUCUGGCAUCAGUGAUGUGUUUGUCUUACUUUGCUAUAACCUGUUUGUUAAGGUCGUCAGUAACCUGCAGUACUUUCAGUCCACAGCAGAGGACUCUGUCCCUGCUAUUUGUUUGACUUUUAUGUCCUGGUGAUAAAGACCAUAUUAGAGAGUAGAUAUAUGAAUGUGAACAGGGAAUGAGCCAAUAGACAUUAUGUGCUAAAAAUGUAAUUUUAAAUUACUACUGAUAUCAUCCAAACUUUUGGCCUCACUAUACGCACUUAAGAGGAAUCUAGCUGACAACAAAAGUGUGACAAAUGGCACAACUUGAGGACAGUGUCAAUAAUCAUUAGGUUUAUGAGAGCAAAGACAAAAAAAAGGUUGCAAUGCUUGAAUUUUCUUUUAAAAGACUUGCACACUGAUAAUUAUCACACAGUCAAGGUUCUAUAGUUAAAUACAACUAACGAUACAGAAUGCUUUGUGGUUAACAUCAUUUGAGGACGUUUUUUAGUAAAGUUUUUAAGUAAAGUCCUUUAAAAUCAAUAAACAGAAAAAAAUAGGGUCUUCAAUUUUGAGAAUGUGCCGGGGGUUUUUAUUUUUAUUUUUUAAACAUUUUCAUGGUUUUUAUGGUCAGCAAAAAUAAAGCCUACAAGUGCAAAAAGCUUUAGUAUAUCACCCAUUGUUGCCUUUGUUGGGGCUGCAGCGCACUAGAAGAUUGCUAAAAAGGAAUCACUGCGAUAUGUGACAGUAACCGACUCUCAUUUGACAGCGGGAAUGUUUUGUGUGGGUUUAAAAAACCUUGGCCACAAAAGCAGAGGGAGGCACGACCUAUUUAUUUUGUCCUACUGUUAGAACGACGUGCUAUGAAUGAAGGGGGUUGGAAAUCGCGUGAUUGUUUAACUAAAUAUUCUCUGAAACUGUUUCACACUGUGAUGAUUAGAACUAUUGUUUAUAUCUCUAUCUAUAUAUAGAUAUGUAGUCUUCUGCUAAAUAUUUCAAAUGCUUCAUGGAAAUAAAGUUACACAUUGUUGGAAACCGUUACCCAACUUUAACCUGAGCCACUUUUGUCGCAGGUGCAAAUCUAAAUCUCUUUUAACUAAACUGCUCUAAACUAAAGAAGGCGCGCAUGUAUGUUCCAUCAGUGAUGAGGCAGAGAGGGACAGUGGUGCACAACUGGGUUGAAAUAGUAGUUUAAGACAUGGCAGGUAAGUACAAAGAGCUGUAAUGUCUGUUUGUGUGAUGCAUUCAAUGUCGAUGACAAAUGUGAAAUACUGAGCUCAAGGGGAUGGAUUGAACAUGAUGUCUUCAAAGGAAGAAGAUGCUGGAGCUGUGAGAGGGUUGUGUAAGGAGACUGGCCUGCUUGUUGGCUUGCACCAAUCCCGCGUGUAUCCAGUACAUACCAUACAUUACCAUUGCUGUGGCCGAGGAAUUAGCGAGGAACAUAUUUAAGAAGAUAUAUAUUCCUGCAACGAAAACGUAUUAUUGGUUACUUCCGUAUCGCCAAACCUUCCUUGAAAACCCAAAAUAUUGUUGUGAAUAAACCAAAUAUUCAUCCGUUGUUCUCACAUUGUUCCAGCUAAAUAAAUGGAAAUUGGAAAUGUUAAUGCCGACACUGUUGAAUUGCACAAAGUAAGCUGUUAUUACCCCACAGAAAUAACCUUCACCAGUGGGCAUUUAGGUUUUUCUAAUUGCUGGUCUCUGAAAAUGUUCCAUUGAAACCACUCUUGACAGCUGGUGACGUUGGUAGCACCAAUAAUGGUCAACGAAAGAAGGUUCCGUUUGGUUGCAUUAUGACUCGGCUCGGUGAAAAUGAGAACUUGGCAAAGGUAAAUAAUCAUGAUUUGUUCAUAUCUAAUUUUGAGUGUAAUGUAAUCUUGAAUAAAUAUAAUAAUUUGAUGAUGUUUCCUCAUUAAUAACAGGUUUUAGGGUUGAUAUUUGAUAUGAUGCCAAGAAUGAGUUUAAUUAAUAGGAACGAUUUGUUUGAGGCAAUAUUAAUAUUUAGAAUGUUAAAAACAGCUCUUUUGAUACAUCAAUGACGACAAGAGCAAUACAUUUUAUUUAAGAAUAAAAGAACUAACUGCCCUUAAUUGGCUACAUAGUCAAUGUUCAUUCUAAAUUUGAUCGAUCUGGUUACAUUUUCACUCUGCUAAUAUUUAGUAUGUUAUUAUUUCAAGGGGGUACACCUUGAGGAUUCCUUCUACUUUGCUGAAACAUCAGAGGCUGUUUCUAGAAGGGCUACACUUUCCACCAGUAUGCGUGCUGGCAAACGCUCCAUCACAGUCACAAAUGCAAUUGUGUGCAAAAAAGGCCAAGGGAAUUUCCUAUUUCCUAUUUAACUUGUAUCUGGGCCUGGCUCCUCAUUGGCGUGGCGUGAUUAAUGAGGCCUCCACGACUCACAAUCACUCGGGUGGCUGCAAAGGGAGAGUGUGUCUAUUUGCGUACAAAUGUGAUGUUCUUCCAAGAAUGGAUAUUCUACUGUAUCAAACAGUAAAGACAGAAUUAUGGUCCUUUUUUUGAAUCUCAUUUCCAUUUAAUAAUAAGCAAAUGAGAUUUGGAUUCCUCAUGUCUGUGGAUCAUCCUCCAUCUCGAGCCAUUCACUGGCAACAAUCGUAGGGUUUACUGGAGACCGUAUUCAUUGGCAGGUUCUUGUCAUUCACAUUCUUGUCCUCAUCAUCGCUCUGCUUCCUUCCUUCUUUUUGCUCCUGGUCAUAAAGGAGGGGGGCGGACUUCAGUAUUUGGCCAACUUUUUGGAUCGCAGGGAGGAAGCCAAAACAAACUGCAACACCAGUUCCUGGUAGGAGGUAAGAAACCGUGCACCAAUAAUGUGCUUAUGGUUUCCAAAUUAAGGGGCUGAAUUUGCUCCUAGCUCUGUUGUGCAUCUGUUUCUUCCGUUUCCCCCUAUCCAUUCCCCCUCCCGUGACACAUUUCUGCCUUUCCUCCACUGGUUUUGAGAAGAGCUGCAAGGAAAGUAGGCUAUUAAAUCAUUGAAUAUAUGAGGCAAGUAGAGUAUAAAGCGCUCAUGUAAAUUAUCCCAAUAUUUGCAUACGGGUUUCACUGCAAAAAGGUCCCGACAACUUCUACAACCCAAUUCCAAUUUCAUCUAGCGGAUAAUUGUCAAUUCAACCGGGAGUGUAAAUUCUAUCAAUACCCGCCAUCAAUCCUCCCUCUCACAGUUACGCUCAUAUUCUAUAUUGCUCGUUUGUUUUCCUGAAUGAAUAGAUCCAGCGAGGAGGAAGAAGCUAACUAUACAUUGUUCAGGUCUGCUUUAUUACAGACUAUAGAAGGCCGGAAAUAAUAUCUUGUGUCCUUGUGUGCUUCCUCAAUUGAUCACAAUGACAAUGGCACAUAGAGCGCACACACCCACACACACACACAAGUAUGCAGCAUGUACACAGGGCCAAAUGGUCCUCAGCUGAUCGAGUGGGGGCCUGACUAUCUGUCUAGACAGCUGACCCUGACAGCUAGAGAAAAAGUGAGGAAGGAGUAGCAGGUGAACGAGUAGGUGAGAAAAGAGGGAUACAAAUCAAGUCAACUACCGUGUCUAUUGGGCCCGUUUAGAUGGGACACACUGGGAUAUGAAGUGUCGGAGGACUCAAUCACGCACACUCACACACACACAUAGAGUAUUGAUGGCAAAAAUAAAUCGCUUUUUAAACAUCAUCAACUUUUACAUGAAGGUCAGAGGCAAGUUCAGCUACAAAAAUCUGGCACAUGCUAGGAAAAUGUCUUUUUGGAUGUUGAGACAUCCGUAAUAGAUUAUUGGACAAAAAGGAACUGGAAACUUCUCUAGGUCAAAAUAUUGUACAUUUGCAUUGUACACCUACUCCAGAUAAAGCAUGAGAAAAGAAACUGAAGGAUAAAAUGAGCUUAACUCUUGAUGAACUCUCAUGAAGAAUAUGACUAAAUUUACUGAUCGGUGAUGACAGCCAGGAUGACAAAUGGGCAUAUACUAAAAUCAUUGGACUUGGAGACACAUUAAGUUAUCAAUAAUUCCAUGCUCUCAUCUCAUCUAAAUUAAAGUUUGCAAUUUUGAAAGUACUUAGCAGAGUCGUCUGGAAUGUUUCUGCCAUCAAUAUCAGAAGAGUGGGACCAAUUGAAAUGAAAGACAGAGACUGACUGGAAUAAAAUGUUGGAGGUAGACGUGUCGAGCAAAGUUCCCAACAACUGCUAAAGAAAAUACAGGGAGCUGCUACAUGUAACCCAAGAGAGAGCCAUGGGGUUAAAAUCACAGUCAAUAAUUCAAUUACCUUGCACUAAUGCACUGUGGUUUAAACACAUUACUGACUCAUUCAACACACUCAGGUGUUGUGGCGAGUGACCCUUUUCUACUUUUCAAAUGGUUUACCCUACAAAUAAAAUGUUCCGUCACGAUAAAAGUAUUUGAUAAAUUGAUCACCAGCUCUUGAAAGAAUAUCAUUCAUGAAGCAUCAUAAUAAAUAUUGUAGAAGUGGGCGUGGUCUGUGCUCAGGUGCAGGAGUGUUUCAUUAGAACAGGCCCAUGAUCAGUUUAAUUGGCACAGAUGCCAAGCAGACUGGAGGCCUGCUGAGAGAGAAUCAGGCCGGGUAGAGAGUCGGCGUCCGGCGGACUCUGACCCCGAGAGGCCCGGCAGCGCGUAGGAGCGCAUAACAGUCCACGUUUUGUGUUUAAGUUAAAAAAAAUGAAAACCCUUUUGUUAAACAAUACCCAAGUAUUUGUGUGUGUUUAGGUGGAUCCACAGGGCCCAGCGCGACGGCACAAAUAUAUUAAAAAUCUAAAAAUGCAGGCACUGAAAAACAAUCAUCAUCUAAAUAGUAGAGCAAGAAGAAUAAAAUUACCCCAAAGAGUAUUUUGGAGGGGAGAGAAAGACAACAACUUUUGAAGAACAAGUUAACAAACAAACGAGUUACAAAUACAUCAUCGAAAACACACACCCAAUGACACACACACACACACACACACACACACUGCAAACAAACACACACAGCGCCAUGGGCUUUAAAGCCACAAACAGCAGGAACUUAAUUGAAGCAAGCAGGAAGCAAAGAAUGUCCCGAGCACAACAAAUGCUUCUUUUUGCCACCGAGGUAGUUAGACAGCCUUCUGAACCAAUGGGUCAUCGUCACCAAACACAUGCAGGAACAUUUUGUUUAUUUCUGGUUUAUUGCCGCAAACUCUAUUUUACAGGAUUAUCUUCGAGCACAACACAUUGGCUCUAAUGAACUUCCACACCAACAGGUCUAUUUGUAAAUGACACGUGUGCCGAUGUGAGUCAUCUAUUGGAAUGCCCGUGUGUGUCAACGUGACCGCCAAACAUAUUUUUAAAAAGGAUUGGAAAGAGACUGAGCAUAUUUAUUGUGGAUCAGCUGAAAACUCAUCAGGGCAUGUCUAGUUUUUAUUUUGUUUUGUAGAUCGUGUUUGAUCGUAAUUCUUGAUCGUAUUUGUGCCUAAAAAUGGUGAUAUACAUUUACUAAUUUGUUUGACCAGCUGUAUAUUCUUACAUCUUCACAAUCAUCAUUUCUGAGGUCCAUCAUCAAAAUAAAGCCCCUUAAAUGGUUUGAUUAAAAUCAAGGUGAUGAAGAAAUGAAGUCAUGAAGAAAUGCAAGAAUAUAUACAAAUAUUCUGUCUCACCCAACAGGCCGGCUUCCCCUGUUUACUGUGCACUGUCGCAAAAGAAAUCUCCCAAAUUUCAAUGUCCUUUCAUUUUCAAGAUGUAUUUCAUCAGAUAUCACCGCUCUUGGUCUCCCUCUCCUUUGUCCUCCACACACUCUCCCUCAUAUCACUGCUCUUUCCCCACCAAUCUGUCUUCUGUGAUGCAUAUCUCCAAACAAAAUCAGAUCCAAGCUAUCGCCUGAAACAUGGUAAUGAGAGUAAAGCAGGACACCUUGGUCGGCUUUGAGCUGAAAUUACAAUUAGCUUGGACUGAUAAUUCUUUGAUUUUCUGCUAAGAUUUUCUAAAUUUAAAAAAUAAUUACUGCUGAAUUGUUUGAAAUCAUCAAUCACUCUGAUUUGAAUGUGCUUUUAUCCGUUUUUGAAGCAGUGUGUUAGUAUAUGAAAAAUGUCCUGCAAAUAUACAGUUUUUUGCAGUUUGUGGAGUAUGACUGCAUUUUGUCUGAAAGCAAUGAGAAAUGAUUCACAGUCUGGUUCGAAUACACUUGUGUGUCGCUGAAUGUGUGAAGAGUUUUGAAAAUGUGGUUUGAGUAUUGAACAAUAAAACAAGAACAAGCAAUUGAAAAAAAUCUGUAAUAUUUCGGCGUAAUUUGGCCUGUGUACCUCCGCACACCGCCGCCCCCUAACCGAUUACAACCAUCUUCAGCAUCAACAGAAGCAAUAUGAGCUCAACCUCUGCCCGCCUCUGUGUGUCUCUUUGAUUCAUGCAAAAACACCUCGUCAGUCAGACCAAUGAGAGGGUGAGAACAAAGUUGUGCUUGAUUCAAACGCAUUAAAUGAUCUGGAACCCUUAAGCUUUAAAACAACCUUCAACCACGAUCAGAAAAUGAGAAAUUUGACAUUUCUAUAAAUUUCAUUAUUUGAUUAAUCUCGUACUCAGCCAUAAUUCAUAAGGUACCACUGCCUGUGGCAAUUCAUCAUAAAUUAAUCAAUAAAGACUUCAAUUGUAAUUACAAGCCCCAGACAACACUGCAAAUAAGCCUGCUUUAACGUAUUGAACAUAACAAAUAUCUGUGCUCUCUUUCGUUAAUAAUGGCCUUCACAGACAAUUUAUCAACCCAGAUCCAUAGUCGCCUCUUUCACACACAACACAUAAAACUAAAAAGUCAAAAUAAAAAAAUUGUGCGCUACGAGUAUAAAUUAAUGAGGCGACUGCAUGCAUACUAAUGACCUGCUCGUUGCUGUCUUUUAGUCCUGAAGGUUGCUGCAGCACCACAACGACAGGCUCACAAACACUGAUUUGAGAGCACGGCCACUGGCUUACUAUUUCAUACCAGUAAAUAAAAUAUUGACUUUGGUCCUGCAGUCAUCAAUCAUUUACACGUUUUUUGAAUGAAUGAUUGACUGAACCCAACUUUCAGCUGGAAUGUAUUAAUCUAUUGCCUGAACAGGUGGGCUCCACAACAAACAGCAACUGUAUGUACCAGCAUCGCCUCACCCUGCAGAAAAAGUUUUCGCCAAAGACGAGUGGCAAACUAAGCAAAACUUUUAGACUAUGGACUUUCAGGUUUCAGGUUGUUCCUUAGACCGGCGAGCUGGUUUGUGCUGGGCGAAGCACAGCGUCGAUAGAUGAGAAGCUGCAGUCAGAGCAGCUUGAAUUAUUGCUUUUGUUUGUCGCUGUUGAACAGGUGUAUUGAUAAAGAAGUAGGCAUCUUACUUGUAACUGUUUUAUUGUACCUACUACAGCAACAAGUGUAGCUGGAGCAUCUUUGGCCAACCGUAUCAGUCGUCUUUGCAAAUAAUGCUACCAGUGACAGAGCGAGGAAGAGGACGUAACUUCGCUUCAUGACCAGCGUCUCUCACAGAUGUGCUCCUCACAAUUUGUGUUGAAGUGUAAAAAAAAGAAAGAAAAGAAAACAACUUUACACACGGAGCAUCUUGUUGCUGCCAUGGGCCUUUAGCCCAGGUGAGCAGUUAAAUUAUAAAGACAGGGCUGGGGCAAGACGACAACAAUGAAACAAGACAUCUUAUUUUUCUUUCUUUGCUGUUAUUUUCUGAUGAGAUGAAGAAAAAAAGAAUUGGGAUUCCGAAUCAUUUUCAUUUUCAUUUUGUUGAUGCUCGUUUACCACUGGAUUUUAUUACCAAUCACUGUGGGCAGGGCACUGGUGAAAAUCAGAAAGAUGCUGAUGUGUUCUGUUGUUUUAACCCAAAAGACAGUUUCAGAUUCUUGACACAAAACAUUUGGAGGCUUCUUGAAGCAAAUGCUCAUUAAAGCGAUUUACUCUUUGGUUUUGUGACCAACAGAUGUCUCCAUGGCAGGCAUCACAAAUAAACAACGCCUUACAUACAUCUCAGUAUGUAUAACGCGGUGCACAUGUUUUGGACAUUUGUCACACAGGGAAAUUGUCAUUUUGCCCAACGAUGUAAAUUGGACAUUUCAUCUUCUGCUACGUUCAUUUAUUUUUAUUUCUGAGGAAUCAAGAGUAGCCAGCGGCCUCGAUGUGUCCAAGCUUCAUCGUCUAAAGAUGUCUUAAGUACCAAAACCUCUCCCUAAUGCUGCACCAACA